Schizosaccharomyces pombe (fission yeast) is the source of this 190-nucleotide non-coding RNA. Lineage: Eukaryota; Fungi; Ascomycota; Schizosaccharomycetes; Schizosaccharomycetales; Schizosaccharomycetaceae. The record is from Rfam.
CCAUCAUCAGUAGGUUUUAACUUACUUUGUUAUAUAAGUAAAGUAAAAUCAAUCCUGAAGUCAAGUAUGAUGGUUGGAGUCUCCGGACCAAGAAAAUGCAUCCGUUCCGUCUUCAGCGAAGAAUUGAGUGGCUUUCCCGGUCGUUGACUUUUUUCCAUGGGUCAAGGAUGGGAUUGUCUCCCAGACAUUU